Small nuclear RNA from Hemicordylus capensis (graceful crag lizard), 189 nucleotides. RefSeq annotates it as U2 spliceosomal RNA. The transcript has a single exon. NCBI's taxonomy places the organism in Eukaryota, Metazoa, Chordata, Lepidosauria, Squamata, Cordylidae. The record is from RefSeq and is a predicted model, not a curated record.
ACAGAUAUUAAACUGAUAAGAUCAAGUAUAGUACAGUAUCUGUUCUUAUCAGUUUAAUAUCUGAUAGGUCCUCUGCUGAGGACUAUAUAGUAAAUAGAUUUUUGGGACUAGAAUAGGAACUUGCUCCAUCCACUCCAUGGAUCAUCCUAAGAUAGCCCUAAAAUAGGCUUUUGGUAUGUUUCAGUAGGU